RNAcentral lists this long non-coding RNA (328 nucleotides) under Carica papaya (papaya). RNAcentral's name for it is "long non-coding RNA (CPAP_LNC009169)". The record is from RNAcentral. Lineage: Eukaryota; Viridiplantae; Streptophyta; Magnoliopsida; Brassicales; Caricaceae.
UCUCAACAUGUGUUAGAGAAGAUGGAUAGAACUCCUCAAGGACUACAAUUGCAACAUCUUGUAUCACUCGGGUAAGGGCAACGUGGUAGUCGAUGUACUCAAUAGAAAAAGUGCAGGUAUAUUACCUCACCUGAUAGUUUCAGAAUGCAAGGUAAUAGGGGCUGCACAAUAGGUACAACUUCAGAAUCUAAAGAGAGUUACAUGUUUGGCCCACCUGGCUGUUCAACUUUAGUUGAUCUAGAGAAUAAAAGAAGCUUAAUCCACCGAUUCCACCCUAGCAGCCCUCAAGAAAGAUGCAGAACAGGGAAUAAAUUCAGAAUUUCAAGUC